UGCCAGCCGCCGCGGUAAUACGGAGGGUGCGAGCAUUAAUCGGAUUUAUUGGGCGUAAAGAGCGCGUAGGUGGGUAUGUAAGUCAGAUGUGAAAGCCUGGAGCUCAACUUCAGAAUUGCAUUUGAAACUAUUUACCUUGAGGAUAGGCGGAGAAGACGGAAUUCCACGUGUAGCGGUGAAAUGCGUAGAUAUCGGAAGGAACACCAGUGGCGAAGGCGACUUCCUGGGCCAAUACUGACGCUGAGGUGCGAAAGCGUGGGGAGCAAACAGGAUUAGAUA
This 279-nucleotide ribosomal RNA is filed under the name uncultured bacterium. RNAcentral describes it as "partial 16S ribosomal RNA". It matches the Rfam family "Bacterial small subunit ribosomal RNA", at positions 506 to 784 of the family's 1533-position model. The record is from RNAcentral.